This 385-nucleotide small RNA is filed under the name Arabidopsis thaliana (thale cress). RNAcentral's name for it is "ATSL209600". Lineage: Eukaryota; Viridiplantae; Streptophyta; Magnoliopsida; Brassicales; Brassicaceae. The record is from RNAcentral.
GUUUUUCUUUAGUAUUUUUGUUGCAUUUGAGGUCUAUGUAUAUAUAUAUACGAUUUUUCUAUAUUAUUAUGAUAUUCACGUAUUUAUUACUAUGAUCUUAAAGUAUUUAUUUUUGUUAGUUCAUAUAAACUUAUAUUGUCAUACAUAUGAACUAAUGAACUUUAAACUCAUAUUGUCAUUAGGGGUGUCAAAAUGGGUAAUCCAACUCAACUCAACUCAUAAUCAAAUGAGUUUAGGAUUAAAUGAGUUAUGGGUUGACCCAACUCAUUUUGUUAAAUGGGUUCGGUCAACCCAUAACUCAAUUAAUUUGAUGGAUUGAGUUGGUAAAUGAGUUAACCCAUUUAAGUAAUAAUUUAAUUAAUUAUUAUUAUAAAAAAUAAUAAAU